CGGGAAAAGCUCAAAUUUAAAAUCUGGUGGUUCUGCCAUCCGAAUUGUAAUUUAGAGAAGUGUUAUCCGUGCUGGACCGUGUAUAAGUCUCCUGGAAUGGAGCGUCAUAGAGGGUGAGAAUCCCGUCUUUGACAUGGACUACCAGUGCUUUGUGAUGCGCUCUCGA
This 166-nucleotide ribosomal RNA is filed under the name Schizophyllum sp. RNAcentral's name for it is "partial large subunit ribosomal RNA". It matches the Rfam family "Eukaryotic large subunit ribosomal RNA", at positions 99 to 260 of the family's 3401-position model. Lineage: Eukaryota; Fungi; Basidiomycota; Agaricomycetes; Agaricales; Schizophyllaceae. The record is from RNAcentral.